This 23-nucleotide small nuclear RNA is filed under the name Arabidopsis thaliana (thale cress). Its description in RNAcentral is "snRNA_17888". Lineage: Eukaryota; Viridiplantae; Streptophyta; Magnoliopsida; Brassicales; Brassicaceae. The record is from RNAcentral.
UGUCGUUGGCUAAGUCCGUUCGG